AUGCAUCCGCUCGUGGGGGCGCUGCUGGUGAGUGCCGGGGAGCGGUGGUGGUGGCCGUGCUGGGGCCCGGCGGCGCGCCACGCCGCGGCGUGGGCCGGCACGCUGGCGCUGGCCGUGUCGGUGGCGUCGUUCGCGCCGGAGGCCGCGUUCGUGUGGGCGCUGGCCAGCGGCGGGUGCGCGGCCGGGUCGGUGCGCGUGCCGCUCGACGGCGGCGGGGACCACGUCUGCGUGCCGGCGAGGAUGGCCGGCCGGACCUGCGCCGACAUCAUCGUGCCGCCGGUGUUCGCGGCGCUCUCCGUCGGCGCCUCGGCGUGCUUCGUCCGGACGAUCGCCAUCGGCCGCCGCCACGGCUACUAG
RNAcentral lists this ribosomal RNA (357 nucleotides) under Triticum aestivum (bread wheat). RNAcentral describes it as "partial small subunit ribosomal RNA". The record is from RNAcentral. Lineage: Eukaryota; Viridiplantae; Streptophyta; Magnoliopsida; Poales; Poaceae.